AGAAAGUUGGUUCGCUUACUAAACAUGGACCACACGCUGACUACCGAUGGCUGGCAGUAAAGGAAACUGGCAUGGAGCUCAGGUCCCAGGGAGGGCAAGGAGGAAAACACCCAGGAGCCAGAGAGAAGACAGAGGAGCCAGGGGAGCUGUGGGUGAAGAUGCACACGGUGAAGCGGGCGGCCAGCUGAGGCCUCCCAGGGAAGACGGCCUGAGCAAAGCUGUGAGGGAAGCUGACGAGCCUUGCAGCCUCGAUUUCUCUGGGGACUGUGUUGACAACAGUGAAGGGAGACAAAGAUGGAAGCAGAAGACCCACUGUGAAGACUUGGUGACAACCAGCUGUCAGCGGAGCCAAACGCCGCCGGGAGAACUGGACCAGCCUGCUCAGGAAACUGGCCUGGAAAGAAGGAGUCCAUUGUUUACCAGCUUGUUACUGUGGCUCUGGGCGCAUUAUGGAUCCAAGCAGGUGACACGGAGCAUGGAGCUGCAGCCAAGAGAAGGUUUCAGAAAGCGAAGAGACCUGCACAUUUAGAGUGCUGUGACUCAGUGGGAAGGCUGUCCGCCUCUUCAGAGCCUUCCUGCCCCUGGAGGACCCGCCGAGUCCCACGCGCCCCUGGAAAGGCUCUUUGUACCGCUGCUGAGGUCUGGGAAAAUAUGCGCCUCCAUACAUACGGCUGGGUAUGGUUUCAUGGAGCUCUGCUUUCUCUUCAACAAUAUGAACACGUGCACUCAUUUGUUUAUUUGCUUAUUUGUUAUAAAAUAAGGACUUGUGAUUUCUGUCAAGACUGUGCUUGGCAAAGGAGCUAGAAGGAACAAUGAAACUGUCUUGGAGGGCAGAGGGCAGAUUUUAAACUCCAUUUUACUUCCCAUCACACAUAGGAGGUACUCAGGAAGUACUUGCAGAGCUGGCCCGGCUUGGCUACUCUCCUUCAUGGAGCUGUGUUAGUCAGCUUUGCCACAAGGCUGGUAUGUGACAAACCGCCCGAUACUGAGCAGCUUACGGUUACCAGUGCUGUUCCUCGCUCAUGGGUUUCAGGCUUGGUGGGUGGCACGGUGCAGGUGCACGUUGGGGGGCAUUGGCUCAGGUUGGCCUGCUCAGCUGCCUCAUUCCGGGGGCCAGGCUGAAACCUCUGCCUGGUUGCUCUUCUCCCAGUAAACGAGCACGUGAGCAGAAAGAAUGUGAUGAAAGAGAUGCUGCCUUGAGAUCUCAGCCCAGAACUGCCGUCCGUCACUUCCACCACCUUCGUUGGCUCACAAUGAGUCAGUGGUCAAGCCCAUUAUCACUGGGCAGGGAUGUAUAUUUGUUGCCUCUUGUGUGAUGCCCUACAGACUCUAAUGGCAAAGGGUACAAUGCUCACGCAAGGAGAGCAUGAAGACUGGAGCUUCAGAGAUGGACUUGAUUUCAAAUUUGAGUUAUUCUCUACCUGAUUUGGGACUGGAGAAAUCACUUAACCCUUUAGAAUCUCUUUCUUUCUCAUAUAUCAGGUGCUUACAAUAUGCCUUUCACUGAGCUUAGCAUUUUAUGAAGAUUGCUAUAGGGAGGUAAAGUAGGGGUUCAGCCCCAUUUAAUGAAUGAGGAAACUGAGGCUGAGUGAGGUAAGUGGCUUGCCCAGAGUUCUAUCUGCCACCUCUACUUAACUGAAAGAGGGUGUGUGUGCUGUCUGCCACUCUCAGGGAGCUUGUUUCAGGUGAAUUUCUGUCUUUUCUCCCCUUAAAGAGUCCUGGAAACUCUCAGGUCUCUGGACUUUCAUUUUCUGAUGAACUUUACCCCGUGGAUAACCCGCUGAUGUGGCUGGCUACCACCACCCAAGUUUCAAAGUUCAUUGUUGGUAAAGAAAAAAGUCGGGGCUAUUAUUAGCCGCAAUUGGAGGGUGAUCGCACUUCCCAGUCACGAGUCUUCAGGAAGAAGGACACUUGAAUCAAAGCCUGGGUGGUGGUGGUGGGGCAGCGUGUGUGGGCCAGAGGCAGGUUUUGUAAUUGUCAUGCCUGUCGGGCGAGGCUGGGGCCUCUGCUGCCAGAUCGCUUUCCUCUCUGGAGCCAGCUGCUCUGACACCUCUGGGGAAGGACAGCUGGCAGCUUUUUGCUAGACUUUACUCACAAGGCAUGGAAGAUACUAGUAAGAGCAAAUCUUGGAUCCAACAGAUCUGAUUUGAAUCAAGCCUGUGCCUGAUUGGCUGGGUGGCCUUGCCCCCUGCAGUGCUGUCCCCUGUGCCUGCAGUGCCCCUCCUUCUCUGGGCCACUCUUCACCUGAAUGUCCCCUCAUCCCAGAGGUCUUCCCUGACCCUCUCACGCCCUGUGCUCCCUUAAUAGCCCGGCCCACCCACGCCCUGCGCCGAGGUUAUCCUGAUGACUCACUUAUUCAGCUCUGCUGCUAGGAGACAUGCUCUGUGAGGGCAAGCCUGACCCCGACAUCCCACUCCCCAGUAUGGGCCUAGGGCACGGGAGGCAUGCUACGAACGUUUAUUUAAUGAAUUCAAUGACAAGUGACUAAAAGCAGGCAAUUGCUUUGCAACCUUUCUGUAGUGGAUUCAAUAUUGUCUAUGCCUUGGAAGCCACUUGGCUCUAAUCCUUGCUACUCAAGGUGUGGUCCUUGGACCUGCAUCCCCUGGGAAUUUCUAUGAAAAGCAGCAUCUGAGGCCCCACCCCAGACCUACUGGAUCAGAAGCUGCGUUUUAACCAGAUCUCAAGCCACCCACGUGCACACCGAAGUUUGAGAAGGAUCACAUCUAGCCGCAGGGUCCUUCCUGGGACCCUCAGAGACUGCCACAGAGUCUGAAGCCGGUUCUCUGAGAAGCAGCAGCCGGGCCAUUUUCAGUGGGCAGCCCCUGAGAAGGACUGCUUGCACAGCACUGCCACGUCGGCGUGGACGGGUGAUGACCUGUUGGCCAAGCAGUCGAUCGCCCGAGUCCUUCUAGUGACCAGCUGCAAGAACAUCUGGAUGCCCCGUGGUCGCCAAGGAGGUUUUCCGUUAACUCUCUGCAGCGGCAGGGGAUGGGCCAGUCCACGGUGUCGAAUCCUCACCCCUGGUCUGUGAGGCAGGUGUUAUAAUCUCCGCUUUACACGGGAGGAGGCCAAGGUCCAGAGAGGGUAAGGCGCUUGCCCACAGCCACACAGUUGGGAAGAGGCCCAGUGGGGAUGUUCCCUUCGUGCAAGGCUGGCUCUUGCAGGGAGGCUGCCCUUCUAAUGCGGACAGUUUACUCACUCCACAUUCCGUCCUAAGACCCUCUUCACACAGGACUAACUGCGGUCUCUGCACCCCGUGAACCGGCCCUUCUCCGUGCUCCUGACCUCAUCUCCUACUGUGUAUGCCCGUGGCUCCCUCUGUUUUAGCCUCUCUGGCCUCUUUCGGACCCUUGAACACACAAGCUGGUGCCCAGCCCAGGACCUCUGCUCUUCCUUCUGCCUGCGGGAUGUCUCCCCCCAUCUCCCCGUGUUUGCCUUCUCAUCAUUCAAGGCUCACUCAAACAUCCCUUCUUCCGGGGGCCUUUCCCUAAGCACCCGAGGGAAACACGUCCUGCCCUCUCCCCUCUCCACGCCCACAAUAGUCACUCUCAUUCCCAUUAUUUUAUUUUUUUCAUAGCACUCAGUUUAUCCAAAAUUGCCACGGGCGUUUGUUCAGAUGCCCCUCCACUGGCGUGGGAGCUCCUCGAGGGCAGGGUCCUUGUCUGGAUAGCUGCUGUGUCCCCAGCCCAGAACAGUGUCUGACACAUGGCAGGACUUAACGAGACUUGGCGAAGGUAUGAAUGUGGGACGGUGGGAUUGAAAGAAACGACACAGAGCGCAGAAGCCUGGGCUUUGCCCUCUGGUGGAUGUGGUUUGAGAUUCGAACUCACUUGCAUGACCUCUGGCAAUUCUCGCUUAGACCGUGAGCCUCAGUUCCCACACCUGUAAAAUGGGGAUAACGACCCAACUUGUGAGGUGAGGGGGUCACGUAAAACCAAAUGAGAGACAGAGCUGGGCAGAUUCAGAUGCUCAGUACACGUUAGGAAGCCCUCACACCCUCUCUGCCCCUCACAACCUGAGCCCUAACCGCAGCUGAACUGCUCACAGCUCUUCUGAGCGCACCGGCCUCUCCUCACCUCCCCAUCUCUGUUCAGGAGCUGCCUCCGUCUGCACUGCCCUUCCUUCGUCGUUGACUGCCUGCAAAGUACCCACUCAUCCUUCAAGACUCAGUACACUGUCCUGACCCUCCGAUAGCACCCCACCCGAACACCCAGGUAGAGCCCCCGGACACCUGGGGCACGAUUUGAGCCUUGGAUGGGGGGCCUCACCGCCUCUGGCAGGUGAGAAGCUGAGUCCUGACAUAAAUUCACUGGCUCUGUAGUCAUCUCAAUAAAGAAGUGUGUCAGCAUCACCAGGGAGCACCCUUGACUUUGCCUCUGCCCUUGAUCUGGCCCCCGGGGCAGGAAAUGGCGCUUUCUUACCGCAGGCACUGGUGUGGCUCAGCCCAGCAGCAGGAGACAUCUGAUAAGCUUCCGUUUCUUCUUUGAUUGUCUGGGUCUCAAGUGAAAAUGAAAAUGUUAGCAAUGGCAGGCACGACUUUCUGAACUCCUUUCUGCUUUUCUCUGCCUGAGGCAGGUAUAAAAAGGAAAAAGGUGCACAGAGAGGGGUGAGGGAACCCUCUUCCUCCCUCCUGUCUGAAUAUGCAAAAGCCUCAGAUCGGCUGCUGACCUGGGGAAGCCACCCGUUCCUGGACUCAGUGCGUCUGAUUCCUGCCUUUUAGGAGAGGAGGCCUGGGUUCCCUGGGCCGUGGCAGUGUUGAAUUGCCCUGUCCUGUCCACGUCAUCUCUCUGUGGAGUGUGCGUGCGGUGCAGGCCUGCUCCACUCCAGGCUGUGGGCCUCCGAUGCCAGUCGUGGGUAAGUCAGGCUGUGGAGGCAGGAUUUGGAGACUCAUCUCUGGCUGUGGUCUGGUUCGGAACAGACCUGCUCUGCAGUGGCGUGGGCUGGGGCACGUCCUGAAGCGCUGCGUCGACGGUCCAGUCGAGGCUAGCGGAGGGGCAGGGAGUUGGACCUAACAGCUCCCGAAGGCCUGCUCCGGAGCAGACACUUGGUGUCCGUGACCUCCAGUGUUCACACUGCCUGUGUUCUGCUGUGCACUCGACAGAGGAGGGAGCUGAGGCCCAGAGGCGGUAAUUGACCCAGGCUGCCCACUGGGGAGGCUGCAAGUGCAGAGCCAGGAGCUCUCGAUUAGAUGCUGAGUGCCUUGGUGGAAAGGUGACAGCUCACAUUCCCUGAUGAGUGGCAGGACUGGGAUCCAGACUCCAUCUCCCUCAUUCCCAAACUGUAAGCUGCUUGCUCACCCUACAGCGCCAACGCCCUCUUUGUAAGAACUGAGGAGGUAGCCUGCCCGAGGUCACGCAGAGAAUUAGAGGCUGUGCUACACGCGGGGUCUCUCCCUGAGACCACACGGCCUCUCUUUGCUCUCAUCGCCGUGGGAGAGGGCUUCCAGAGAACCACCUCAAGGCCGACUGCUGAUCCCGGGAGACCCCGGCUUCCUCUGGAGCCCAGUGAGUCACUGUGGGGAGGCUCCAGGCCCCUCCUUUGAAGCCCUGCUUCUGUGUUUAGCCUGAUCUGCCUCCAGGGGCAAGAGGAUGAAGCGGAGGAUUGCCUCGGGCCACUUCUGUCACUUGCUUGCCAAUCUAUGCUGUUUUCCUUUUGCCAGAGGGUCUUCAUAGCUGGGCCAAAACCCAUGAGAUGGACACUGGAGGAAAAGAGAGAUUACUUACAACUCAAGCUGCAGAAAAGGAGCAGGCAAGGGGAUGGGAUGCCUUCCCCAGAAAGCAAGACUGAAUAGCGCGUACAGUCUCUGGAUCAGAGUCCAAGUCUUGGAAAGAUUCUCAGAGGGCCUCAGUGAUUCCAGCUUCAUAGCUGGAGUCAGGUCAGGGCUCCAAUCUCGCUCAGCCUCUUCCCCCUACGUACGUUAUACCUGCAGUGUAACAAGGACACUGACUUAGGAUUGUUGUGAUUUUAAAAUGAGACAAUAUGCAUCAUACGCCUGGUCCAGAACAGGCAAGAAAUAAAGAAAGAGCAAGGUGUGUGUGUGUGCGUGUAUUUUCCCCCUUAUCUCCUCAUUUUAUAGACAAAGAGACGAGAACCAGAGACCAGCUGUGAUGUCCACAGACACAUGGGAGUCCAUGCUGGAGCCGGGAGGUGGACCCUUGCCCCACCCUCCCAGGCCAGCGUUCUUUAUUUCACAUCACAAUAUUAAGGAUGAAAUUUUUAACCACAUCCCUAAUUUCUAGGCCUUGGAAGCAUAAAAAAGAUGAUUCUCAGCAUAUGGGGAAUACACCAAAAUAAAAUUAUUCUUUGACUAUUCUGGCAUCUAAAAAGCCUUUGAAGCGGCACUCCUUGUGUGGUCAGGAGAGCAGGCAUGUGGCUGGCCUGGAUCCUUUUCACUCAGGGAUGGUUGAACAGUGCCGUCCGGGCGCCCACCCCAGUCCCAAGACCGAAGGAUCUCGGGCAGGUGUGGUCCGAGAAAAAGUCGAGGUCAGGACAUGUGCACAUUGUGUAUGGGUCCCUGGAGCCAGCUAGCCAAACUUUAUCUGUGAGAUAAGGACUGUGAAUGUACCAUGUAAUUUUGUUCUUAUAAUAAAGGAAUAGUCCAGAAAUAACCUUAUCCCUUACGGCAUAAGGCCUUUUCGCUGGUUUCUGAGACCACCUGAGAGAAUGAGCCUUUUACCAACACACUGAUGAUUUAUAUCACAUCACAAUGUAAGGAUGCAAUUUGUUAACCGUAUCCCUAAAUUGAUCAUCUCAGGGAAUUGGUGUUCAUAAUUAGGAGUUGGAGCAGGGCCCCAGAUGCCUCUGGCAUCUUCCAAACCACCAGGGAAAGGCUUACACGCAGCUCCUGUUGGCUCACUGACUUUCUGGUCUUUGUUCAAAUGACACCUUCUCAGUGCAGCCUUCCCUGGCCACCCUAACUAACAGGCAGACCCCCCACCAACAUGCUCGAUCCCUAUCCCCUGAUUCAUUGUCCACCUUCACACUCCGCAUCUUGCAAUACACUAUAUAUCUACUUACUUUGUUAUUACCUACGUUCCCUUACUAUUUAUUUAAUGAUACUCAUUUGUAAAUGCUCGACAAAUAUCAGCUCAUUCAGACCUCAUAACAACUUUAAACGGAGGUGGUAUUAUUUGCCCCUCUAUACAGAUGAGGAAACUGAGACACAGAGAGGUUAGGUAAUGUGUUGAAGGUCACACAGCUCACAAGUGGCUGAGUUAAGAUGUGGUCCCAGGAGUCUGGCUCCCAAGUCCUUGCUCACGCCCAUCACACUGUCCCUCUCAUAGGAUGUGAAUUACGCAAGGGCAGGGGUUCGCCUAUUUGGCUGGAAAUACCUGGCACAUCACAGCAUCAAGUAAUUAUUUGUUGAAUGAAUGAAUGAAUGUUUAAAUGGGGCUUAUACCAUUCCAUUGCUUUGAAAGCCCUUCAUUUAUAGAUACUAUGCUUAGACAGCCACUCCUUGAAGCAAAUCUCUGGAUUAUAGGAAGGCAGUGGGGCAGGUGGACAGGGCGUGGGGCUCUAGUGUCAGAAAAGAAUGGGGAUCAGAAUCCUAACUCGGUCAGUCACACACAAUAUUUCAUGAGCUACAUGACCUUAACAAGUUCAUCUAACCUCUCUAGCCUUGGUUGCUUCAGCCUUGGAGAAAAUCGUGGGCUCCUUGGAGGGUUAGGCAUUAGAUGAAAGUCCAGUGUAGAUAAAGCACGGGCCCAGAGCAGGUCCUCAGGAAAUGCCAGUUCCCUUCUCAUGGGGAAGGCAGGGAUGAAAGAUACAGGGACUCCAUCUUCCUUUUGCUGAGCAAGCUCUGAUUUUUUCGGAAUGAAUAUAUUAGGGUGAAAGUAUGGGGCUAGCAAAGGGGACCAGGAGAUGGGAAAUGUCACUUUUCCCUUGGACAGCAGUUAAGGCUGGAACAACUCUAGUCAAUUCAGCAAUAUAUUUCUUUUGAUUCUCACCUAACACCAAAUUGAUGCCACUUUUUCUCCUUUGUUUCAUUAAAUUCCGUCGCCUUAACGUGAAACACCGCCUCUUCAGACGUGGUCCCACCGUAGCAGUGAGCAGGCAGGAGUGUCAUCGCCCUCCCGGAAACCAAGCCCGCUUUGGAUUGUAGAGAACAGACCGCACAUCUGACACGCGAGUUUCCCAAUUCCUCCCGAUUUGUAGACUGAGUUUGUAAAACUCUAAAUAUUUGUCUGACUUUUAAGACUGUUUUCUUCAAGUCUCAGUCGGAGACUCUGCAGGGAAACGCCUAGAGCCCCGGGCUGGCGCUGGGCUGGGAGCUGGUGCCCGGAAGUCGCUCCUGCUUCCUGGGUUUGGUGAGUGCCUCCACAUCAGAUUGCCCUGGAAACCUCCACGAGCCGCCAUCAGACAGAUGGGUCUCCUUCUGCAUGGGGAGGGCUGAGGCCCAGGACCUCCAGCACAUGUCCCAUCCUCUUUGCUGGACCCUUCUGCUGCUUGUGGUAUGACCAUGGCACAGUGGCCACGUGGGAUUAAUUCCAAACCUCUGACCUGGCUUUGCGCAUGCCGUUCCUUCUUCUUAGACUCUCCUUCCCUCACCUCCUCUGAACUCAGGGCUCUCCAACUUCAUCCUCAGGACUCAGUGUGGUUGCUCCUCUGGGACGAGGCUCUAAGGGGGCAGUGGCUGUCGGCUCUGUGCUCAUUUCUAGCAUCAGCCCCUUUCUUGUCAUCUUUACAUGUCCCUGUUUCUCAUCUGGGAACUCCUUCAGAGCAGGGCGUUGUUGUGCAUUUAAAGAUCUUUAGGCCUGACAUAGGGCCCAGUCUGCGGCUGGUACUCAGUGAAAGAAGGACUUCAAGAGGAGUCCUGAAUUUUAAACUUUUUGCUCAAAUGAACAGGGCGCUGGGACCUUCACAGAAAGAGUGUAGGAUGAGGGGGUGCAUGGACUGCUGUUUAGGAGACCCCUCGGGCUGAUCUGGGUCAGCCCCCAUUAUUCUGCAUCUGAGAAAGUGGGAGCUUAGUGACAUCCCAGCUGCAUGUGUUGCUGGCAGAGCCGAGGUCUCCCCACUCUCGGUCCAGUGCCCAAUCUGUGAUCUCAGGAUGUCCCUCGUCCUCAUGAGAAUGAGCUGCAGCAAAGACAUGGCUGGUGGAGUGGAGAAAGGCAUCCAGGGACAAGAUACUGGGAGUGACAAAAGUCCCUGGAGUGUGGCUUGCCAUCUUGGCAGCAGGCUGCCUGGCAGACUGGAGGAUGCCAAUGAGAAGAAAGCCUCGGGAGUGCCAUGGCAGGAGCUCUGGGUUGCAGACUUGGGCUUCUCAGGCCAGACCCGCUGGCCCGAGUCAGCUCAGGAACCAGGGAAAAGUGCCACAGAGCCGUCCCCAAACCAAAGGCUUCAGGCUCCUUGCAGUUGGGCAUCUGGCCAGAUGUUAAGAAAAGGGGACAUUGCAAAGAACUCUAGCAGGAGGAAGUGGUUUGAGUUUCCUGCUUGAAGGAGGAUGCUUCAUUUAAAUAGAAUUCGGUAGAAUUAAGUAGAAGGGGGAAGUCUCUCAAGCCCUCUGCUUGGACUUGGAAGUCUGCUUCUUGCAGAGAAAGAGGAUUCAGAAAUGGCUUCCCAGGGAACCAGAUUUUACCCCAAAUUCUCAAUCGGGGUGGGGAUGGAUAUAACAGAAAACGUUUCCAUCUACUGAGCCCCUGUUCUGUGUUGGGUACUUCUCUCAGUUAGUGCUUCUCCCCAAAUCCUCGUGGAAACUCAGGUUCCCAGAGGGGAAGUGAUUUGCCGCAGAAGACACAGCAAGGCAGGCUGGCACUCGGACCCACCCCCGGCUGACCACCUCGCCACGUCGGCUCCCAAAGCCGGCUGGCCUCCCUGGGCCUGCGGGCCUCAGUCUGAGUGAGCUUCUCUCGUCUGUGAGCUGACAGUCACCAGGCCAGGCCCCUCCCUGCUUUGCAAAGCUCAGUUUUGCACAGCUAACCUCUUCAGUAGACCUCAGGGAGGUUCGACUGUGAAGGCCUGAGGACAGGGUCUGGGGUGCAUCACCUCUGUCUUCCCUGCACUGGCCCAAGGGUCUGGACCCAGUAGACGCACGGAAACAAUGGUCCCCGUGCCAGGAUCUUCUGUGUGGUAGCUCACUUCAUUCCCACACUGAGCCGGGGCCUGGGUUUGUCAUGCCCAUGUCUGAGAUGGGAAAACAGACUCAGGAAGAGAAGUAAUUUUCUCAGGAUAUGUUGCUGGAUUGUCUUUUAAAAAUAAAGGUAUUCCCUGAGUAUGGUAUAAGUAAGAUGUUUUAGGACACUUCUCUGCAAGAAGUAUCAUAUUUACUUGUAUUUCUAAAUCAAAUAAAUUUGGCUUGCCACGCCCGCCUGCAUUUGGCAGGAAAUUCCGUCUCAGCGUGUGGGGUGGAGGUCGCCCCGAAUGCGGGAGUUUAUACGGAAUGGUGUUUAGACAAGAGUCUGCCUCUGGCCUUCAGCUCCAAGACGUUCCAAUCACAGGGCGAUGCUAAUCAAGCGACGCUUUGGAGCCACUUCCCAGAGUGGCCUGGGAACGCCCCCGCAGGUCAGGUGCUGUUCGAAGAGUUGGCACGGUGUGAGAUUUUUAACCUCAGUGGGUGACGAUGGCCACCUUCUUCCCCCCUCCCCCCAUCACACAUCCCCUGUUGGGUAAGUUGUAUUGGCCGUGGGCGUUUUAUAUUUGUAAUGUUCUUUUCUUAAAGAAAGCUCCUCAAAAUGCAUAUAUUCACGUCUGACAAAACCUAGAUGUGCUCCUGCCUGCUUCGUUCAUGGUGGCAGUCCCUCCACACGUGCCCUGGGCUGCCUUCCUGGUGGCCCUGGAGCCGUGGCUCUUUCUGUGAAAUUUUCGGCUUUUCCUCUUACCCUUUCAGAGGUUCCACCCUCCUGGAUGGGGGUGCUAUGUGGGAAUGGGAUACUGGUCCCCCAUUUUGGAAACAGCAGCUUCCAUAGUUUAUUUUGCCAUCUUGGAGAAGCCUUGCCAAGGUUAGGCCAUUCCCCAUUUUCAAGCACAGAGGAAAGGGUACAGAGGCCUUUGCACACACAAUGUCACAGUCAAGGUCAGAGCAUCACAGUCAAGGUCACAGGGUCACAGUCAAAGUCAGAGUAUCACUGUCAAGGUCAGAGGAAAGGGUACAGAGGUCUUUGCCCACACAGGGUCACUGUCAAGGUCUGAGUGUCACAGUCAAGGUCACAGGGUCACAGUUAAGGUCACAGUGCCACCGUCAAGGUCACAGGGUCACAGUCAAGGUCAGAGGGAAGGCCAGCAGUGAGACAGCAGCAGGUUGGAUGUGGCUGUCUUCAUUCUCUUAGAUGAAGUUCAAGGCAAAGGUCUCUGACAGUCCUUGGAAGAGAAUGUCCAGCUUGUUUUCCCGCCCAGAGCCUAGUAAACAGGACAACUGGAAUCUGUGGUGGCCUCAGGACACAUGGACUGCAGCCUGGCUGACCGUGGGAGAGAAGGCAGUGUGGAAAUGGCUGACAUUAGGACCCACCCUGGCCUCUGCACUUGAUCCCCAAGGAAACGCCUCUUCUGGGACAACAUGUCUCAGGGACUUGGAAUCUGUAUCUUGGGUCAGAAAAUAUGCACAGCCUUUGACCCAACGAUUCCACUUCUAGGAACGCAAUAAGAAGGAAUAGUUGCUGAUGUGUGCAAAGAUAUAUGUCCAAGGGUGUUCAACGUAAUGUUGUUUGUAAUAGAGAAAAAGUGGAAGCAACUCAAAUAUCCAGCAAUGGUGGUAUGCCAGGAAACUUGUGUUGCUACAGUACAUCUAUAUGAUGGAAAAAUAUUAGCCAUUAAUAAUCAUGUGGUAAAGGAAUGUGUAUUGAUAUGGAAUUUUCAGAAUAUUUUGCCAAAUGAAAAAAGGCUAUCAAACAGCAUGUACUGCCUGUUCUUACUUAAUUAUAUAAUUACAUACUACGCUGAGGUUAACUGAACACUUACUGGAUGCCAGGCAUGGCUCUAAGCAUUUAAAAUACAGUCAUACAUUUCAUCGUGCAACGUCUAUGAAGAAGAUAUUUUUAUUAUCUAUAUAUUACACAUAAGGCACCUGAGACACAGAGCGUUUAAGUAAUUCACCCAAGGUCACACAGUACUAAGUGGCAGAACCUGAAUGUGACUAAGGCAGCUGGGGUCCGGAGCCAUGCCUAAACCACUAAGCUGGCCCUGCUCUCUCUUCCUGUGUGUGUGCAUGUUUGUAUAGUUUUCUCUCUCUUUCUCAGAGGCUUUACACCAAAAUGCUAGCUGUGUCUUCAGUCAUCCCCUCCUCAAACAAGAUACAGCAGAUGUUUCCAUGAUGAGAGGGGAUGCUGCAGCUACUGCGGCACUGGGGGACAUCUGCGCCUCGAGCACAGAGACUACGCCACGUGCCUGUGUGGACUCCACAUGGGCACGUCCCCAAUUCACCGAUUCAGCAAACAGUGACUAGGCACCCAUUCUGUGCAGGCCUUGUUCUAUGUUUUGAGGAUUCAACAGUGAACAGGGAAGGCACACGGGACAAUUCUCCCAUAAAACUGACAUCCCAGUGGGGAGGCAGAGAGGUGACCAGUAAGUAAACAGCCAAGAAAAACACCAGCUGGAGAUCAGUGUUGUUGGGAUCUGCAAUUAGAAGAGUAUGAGAGAGUGGGACCACAGCUACAGGGGUUAAAUGGCCAGGAAAGGGGACUUUUUAGAGGUGGCAUCUCAGCUGAGACUUGAAUGACCAGAAGAAACAAGAUAUUUGUCUAUAUCCGUAAUGUAUCUAUGUCUAUCUCUAUCUACCUAUCUACCUACCUACCUAUCUAUCAUCUAUCUGUCCAU
Molecule: long non-coding RNA, 12744 nt
Organism: Equus quagga
Lineage: Eukaryota; Metazoa; Chordata; Mammalia; Perissodactyla; Equidae
Exons: 5
Source: RefSeq, a predicted model, not a curated record